This 754-nucleotide ribosomal RNA is filed under the name Galerina marginata. RNAcentral describes it as "eukaryotic LSU rRNA". It matches the Rfam family "Eukaryotic large subunit ribosomal RNA", at positions 78 to 817 of the family's 3401-position model. Lineage: Eukaryota; Fungi; Basidiomycota; Agaricomycetes; Agaricales; Galerinaceae. The record is from RNAcentral.
CCCUAGUAACUGCGAGUGAAGCGGGAAAAGCUCAAAUUUAAAAUCUGGUGGUCUUUGGCCAUCCGAGUUGUAAUCUAGAGAAGUGUUAUCCGCGCUGGACCGUGUACAAGUCUCCUGGAAUGGAGCGUCAUAGAGGGUGAGAAUCCCGUCUUUGACACGGACUGCCAGGGCUUUGUGAUGCGCUCUCAAAGAGUCGAGUUGUUUGGGAAUGCAGCUCAAAAUGGGUGGUAAAUUCCAUCUAAAGCUAAAUAUUGGCGAGAGACCGAUAGCGAACAAGUACCGUGAGGGAAAGAUGAAAAGAACUUUGGAAAGAGAGUUAAACAGUACGUGAAAUUGCUGAAAGGGAAACGCUUGAAGUCAGUCGCGUUGGCCGGGAAUCAACCUUGCUUUUGCUGGGCGUACUUUCCGGUUGACGGGUCAGCAUCAAUUUUGACCGUUGGAUAAAGUUCAAGGGAAUGUGGCAUCUUCGGAUGUGUUAUAGCCUUUGUUCGCAUACAACGGUUGGGAUUGAGGAACUCAGCACGCCGCAAGGCCGGGUAUUUAUACUACGUUCGUGCUUAGGAUGCUGGCAUAAUGGCUUUAAUCGACCCGUCUUGAACACGGGACCAAGGAGUCUAACAUGCCUGCGAGUGUUUGGGUGGAAAACCCGAGCGCGUAAUGAAAGUGAAAGUUGAGAUCCCUGUCGUGGGGAGCAUCGACGCCCGGACCAGACCUUUUGUGACGGAUCCGCGGUAGAGCAUGUAUGUUGGGACCC